UUGACCUCAAAUCGGGUGAGACUACCCGCUGAACUUAAGCAUAUCAAUAAGCGGAGGAAAAGAAACUAACAAGGAUUCCCCUAGUAACUGCGAGUGAAGCGGGAAAAGCUCAANUUNAAAUCUGGCGGUCUUUGGCCGU
RNAcentral lists this ribosomal RNA (139 nucleotides) under uncultured ectomycorrhiza (Lactarius pseudomucidus). RNAcentral's name for it is "partial 28S ribosomal RNA". It matches the Rfam family "Eukaryotic large subunit ribosomal RNA", at positions 1 to 138 of the family's 3401-position model. Lineage: Eukaryota; Fungi; Basidiomycota; Agaricomycetes; Russulales; Russulaceae. The record is from RNAcentral.